AUCACUGAUCAAUGGAUCAGGUUGUGUCAAGCUCGCUUUCUUUCUAGUACAAGACAAUAUCGAACCUAAGGGCCUCCCUCCUUUUAGGGAGCCACACGGCCUUGUGACACCAAUUUUUCCACUAUAUGGCGUCACCGUAUCACCAUCCAUGGUGAUGGCGUCAAGACCAACACUUUUUGGUCGCGCCAUGUCCUUUUGUAGGACAUCAAUCCUUGCAGACAUAUUUGCAGCAUGUGAUCUCGUCACUUUAACACUAUAACACUAUAAGCAUUUGGGAUCAAGAUGAGACUUAGUGGGGACAAACCACGACAAUUCACGUCGUUCCACUUGAACACUUGUGUUCUUAUCUCCCCCUAACGGCGGGAAUAUUGUCUCAUCAAAGUGACAAUCCGCAAUUUAGCGGUGAAUGAGAUCGCCUGACAAGGUUCCUACAUAUGCGGAUUAUAGAUGGAGGUUCAUAUCCAACCUAAACUUAUUCAUCUCAAAUGACCCAUCAUUGUACGCAGUGGCAAUGCGAUUUGGCACCUAGAAAUAACAUCUAGCCGAGCUCAAGGAUUGGAGAUCCGUUUCAAUCCUGCCGAGCUCAAGGAUUGCAAUUUCGUGUCAAUCCUGGUACACAGUCACGAGCUAUAGUACAACAAAAUUCAAUGAUGGUGGGUCGUAGAUGAAUAGUAAAGCUGCAUGCAAAUAUUGCAUAGCCCCAAGACGCAAUAGAAAGAGUGGUGCGCAUCAAUAAUGUUCGAGCGACAAGCUAAAGUUGCUUGGUCGUAGCCUCGGUGAGACCAUAUUGCGUGUGAACAUGGGGUACAUGACACUUCAACUUACAUCCCGAUGAACUUCUUUAAAGAAUGGGUAGUGAGCCCGUAGAAGUAUAAACAAUAUAAGCAGUAGAUAAUAGUGUAACACGUGACCGGUGUGCUAACACUUCAACCAACACCAUAAAGCAUAAAAGGUGUCCGCAAGUUGGUUGUAUCUAUCUACAUAAUUUUAUGUAAGAAUAGAAUGUUCACUUUUGUGUUAUUUAGCAUAGGAGGGUCUCACUCCUAAUUUAGCUAAAGAAUAGGCUUUCAAAACGAGCAAUGAGCAUUGCAGGGGGCCAAUGCGACAUCGAGGAAAGACCGGUGCACCUCAAUUGCUUAAGGAAUUGACCGGACGACCUCCAGGAAGUUGGAGUCGUGUUCGGGUGACGUCAAUGUCCCCCGGGUCACCACCAUGCUUCAUGGUGAUGCUAGGUCUCGAAUGUCUUCGUUUUGAGCGGAAGAAUGGAUGUCCAUGAGAAUUUCUCAAAAUUUGGAUCAUUAUAUCUCUUCCAGGUUGACCAAUUUAGUCAAACCAAAGCCUAUAUGAGUCAGUGUCCCAAAUAUCAUGUUUGGCGACAACAUGGGAUUCGAUAUUCGAAUCAUAGUGACAUACAGUCCAUUAGAUUGACUCAUGAAUUUCUUCAAGAUGCGCUUCAGUCCGCAUUCAUGAGAAGGUAUACAACAAAAGAAUUACUUGUUCAUUCUCN
RNAcentral lists this long non-coding RNA (1507 nucleotides) under Fragaria vesca (wild strawberry). RNAcentral describes it as "long non-coding RNA (FVES_LNC000339)". The record is from RNAcentral. Lineage: Eukaryota; Viridiplantae; Streptophyta; Magnoliopsida; Rosales; Rosaceae.